GCUGCGCGUUGGGAGCAACGUGAGUCCGCACGCCAACCAAAGAAUAAAGUUUCCUAUUUCAGAGUUGUUUCCUGCUGGGAUUUCCAGACUAUAAAAACACCAUUUCUGUCCUCAGAUUUAGAGAGAGACAAGCAGAAGAUAAGCAGACCCCAAAGAAAGUAGGAUUCAAGCUGACAGGAUGCAGGAUCAGGAACUUCGGAGACUCAGGAACCACGCAGGUGAACAGCUGCAAAUGUUUCUCCCUCACAGAGGCUAGUGAAGAUUAGGAGAAAACGGCGGACUCGGGAUGAUAUGUUCUUGGAGCUCCAAAUGUGCUCUGUCAGCGUGGGAGGACAGCAGAAUGCGUGGAGGCAGACCAUGUCAGAGUGCAGAAAAGCACAAUAUGAACGAGAGGAGAGGUGGCGGGCUGAAUCGCAGGCUGAAGAGAGCAAGUGGCGGGCUGAAGAGGAUAGGUGGCAUCAGAUUGCUGACAGAAGGCAAGAGUCGAUGCUACGGCUGCUGGAGCAUCACGCUGGAGCAUAUCAGUUUAUGGUUGAGCUGCAGGAAAGGCAGCAGCAGCAGAGACCACCGCUACUGCCCCUGUGUAACCAACAGCCCUCCUCCCCAAGUUCCGCAGCCUCCUCACCCAGACACCCAAGAAUGGGGGGGGCCCGCCUCUGGCCACCCAGCCAAUCCACCCCAGAGGAUUGCCCAAGCAUCAGAAGGCUGGCCUUCAAUAAGUUUUAAAGUGCAGUGUGUCCUUGUCCUGCCCUCCUCCCCCGCCUCACCCAGCACUUCCCUCCUCCCCCACCCCUCCUGGGCUACCU
Malaclemys terrapin pileata is the source of this 806-nucleotide long non-coding RNA. RefSeq lists it as uncharacterized. Lineage: Eukaryota; Metazoa; Chordata; Testudines; Emydidae. The transcript has 4 exons. The record is from RefSeq and is a predicted model, not a curated record.